AGAGUUUGAUCUGGCUCAGGACGAACGCUGGCGGCGUGCUUAACACAUGCAAGUCGAGCGGUGAACCCUUCGGGGGAUCAGCGGCGAACGGGUGAGUAACACGUGAGCAACCUGCCCCUGACUCUGGGAUAGCCUCGGGAAACCGGGAUUAAUACCGGAUAUGACAUCGCCUCGCAUGGGGUGGUGUGGAAAGUUUUUCGGUCGGGGAUGGGCUCGCGGCCUAUCAGCUUGUUGGUGGGGUGAUGGCCUACCAAGGCGACGACGGGUAGCCGGCCUGAGAGGGUGACCGGCCACACUGGGACUGAGACACGGCCCAGACUCCUACGGGAGGCAGCAGUGGGGAAUAUUGCGCAAUGGGCGGAAGCCUGACGCAGCGACGCCGCGUGAGGGAUGAAGGCCUUCGGGUUGUAAACCUCUUUCAGCAGGGAAGAAGCGCAAGUGACGGUACCUGCAGAAGAAGCACCGGCUAACUACGUG
This 477-nucleotide ribosomal RNA is filed under the name uncultured Quadrisphaera sp. Its description in RNAcentral is "bacterial SSU rRNA". It matches the Rfam family "Bacterial small subunit ribosomal RNA", at positions 8 to 507 of the family's 1533-position model. The record is from RNAcentral. Lineage: Bacteria; Bacillati; Actinomycetota; Actinomycetes; Kineosporiales; Kineosporiaceae.